UACAUGUGGGGCAAGCGUUGUUCGGAAUUACUGGGCAUAAAGGGUGCGUAGGCGGUUUGUUAAGUCACUGGUGAAAGUUUUCGGCCCAACCGGAAAAUUGCCUGUGAUACUGGCGAACUUGAGUGCGUGAGGGGUGGGGGGAACGAGCAGUGUAGCGGUGAAAUGCGUAGAUAUCAGGAGGAACACCUGCGGUGUAGACGGCUUACUGGACCAUAACUGACGCUGAGGCACGAAAGCGUGGGUAGCAAACAGG
RNAcentral lists this ribosomal RNA (253 nucleotides) under uncultured bacterium. Its description in RNAcentral is "partial 16S ribosomal RNA". It matches the Rfam family "Bacterial small subunit ribosomal RNA", at positions 524 to 776 of the family's 1533-position model. The record is from RNAcentral.